GCAGGCACUUGGCCCCGACUCAUAAUCGUGGGGUCGGGGGUUCAAGUCCCCCCCUCGCCACCA
RNAcentral lists this transfer RNA (63 nucleotides) under Cereibacter johrii. RNAcentral also lists the same sequence under 1 other name. The record is from RNAcentral. Lineage: Bacteria; Pseudomonadati; Pseudomonadota; Alphaproteobacteria; Rhodobacterales; Paracoccaceae.